This 1058-nucleotide long non-coding RNA is filed under the name Vulpes vulpes (red fox). Its description in RNAcentral is "lncRNA (ENSVVUG00000023675.1)". Lineage: Eukaryota; Metazoa; Chordata; Mammalia; Carnivora; Canidae. The record is from RNAcentral.
UGGGGGGCCCUGCUUUGGGCCCGGGGGCUCUGCAGGCCUCACCCUGGGGCACUUGCCCUCCCGCAGGUUCGGGGAGGCCCUGGCCCGCACCCGCACUAGCCCCCUCUCCCGGGAGCAGCCCCACCUCCUCGGAGCAGGGGGCCGGACUGUGCUAUUUCUGUCCUUUCUGGGAUUCUUCUGAGAACAGGCUCUUGUUUUCGGUCCGAUUCCCGAUUCCGAUGUGAAACUUUUCCCGGGGCCUCCCGCCCUUGCUGGCUGCCUGUCUGGUCUCCCUCUCCUUCCCCGGAGGAGCAGUAGCUGGGUCCUGGGAGAUCAAGCUGGGCCCAGGAGGGGCCCUUCCCUGCAGGGGCCCUGGGGCCCCGGGCGGAUUUGGGUGCUCUGGAGUAGGACGCUUUGAUUCCCAUGGCAAACCCUGUUCCUGUGCAGAGGAGCCACCUCCAGGGCCCCAUCCUCAGAUUUCAACAGGAGCCAUAAAAGAGCGGGGUCUCGGGGUGGAGGCUGCGGAGACGCGGAGGGAGGCUGUGUGGGAGGAAGGCUCCACGGCCUCGUUCUUCCCCGCGGGCUCUCCGUUAGGGUUGCGGAGACCCUGCCUCAGAGAUCUCUGGUGAGCUCAGGGAGAUAGCCCCCCUCCCCGCCAGUCUCCCUCCCUCCCUUUUANAAACAAGCCACUGUCCUACCAUAGGCUGCUCAGGUCUCCCGUGGGCUCAGCACUGCUUGGGGGCAGACAACGGAGUAGGGAGCGGCGACCGAGGGGCCCCCGCCUCGCUCCGAGGGGCUUACAGCCUCCAGCCCCUCGGUCCCUCACCUGUCGUGUGCAGUUAGGCCCCUCGGCCCCUCACCUGUUGUGUGCAGUUAGGUCCCUUGGCCCCUUACCUGUCGUGUGCAGUUAGGCCCCAGCGGUGUGAGCGCCGGGCUUGCUGGCGACCAGGACAGCCACGUUGUGUGACCUUGGGCCAGUCCCUUAACCUCCCUCCUCGGGUGGAGGAGAGAUCCUGGCCAUUUUCAUCAUCCUGCUCCCCCGUUCGGGGGCUUCCUCAUCUCGAGUCUCCAGCCACGCU